UGCAUGUCUAAGUCCAAGCUGUGUUCACACGGCGAGACCGCGGACGGCUCAUUAAAUCAGUCGUGGUCCAAAUGGGCCAGUGCAAAUCCUACUUGGAUAACUGUGGUAAUUCCAGAGCUAAUACAUGCAACUGAUAUCCCGAAGGCGUGGCUGUGCUUGCUUGUCUUGCGCUUUCAUUGCUCUGACGGAUGCUUUUAUUAGACCAAGCCGCUGAGGACUUGGGGGUUCGCUCUCUUGUUCGACUCGUGUUAUGGUGACUCUGGAUAACCAAUUCUGACAAGCGCACGUACUUCUCUUCUGAGCGAGACGGCGCUGCCACUUUCGAGUGUCUGCCUUAUCAGCUAUCAACCGUUCGUUAUGCGCGACCGAUGGCUUUGACGGGUAACGGGGAAUCAGGGUUCGAUUCCGGAGAGGCAGCCUGAGAGACGGCUACCACGUCCAAGGACGGCAGCAGGCACGCAAAUUACCCAAUCCCAGCAAAUGGGGGAGGUAGUGACGAAAUCUAACGAUGCGGGCGCCCUUUCUGGGGCCCCGCAAUCGGAAUGGGCACUUUCUAAACAACCUGUUGAGAACCUACUGAAGGGCAAGUCUGGUGCCAGCAGCCGCGGUAAUUCCAGCUUCAGCAGCAUCUAUUAAAGUUGCUGCGGUUAAAAGGCUCGCAGUUGAAUGUCUGUAUCGAGCGCAGGUCAGGUGGACGUUGGGGCGUGGAAGUACGGGCUGUUGGAUGUUCGGAGGGCUUCGUGCUCGACGGCUCCUUCGGCUUUUCCACACACCCCCGUCCGUAACAAGCCUCCUCGCUCGGGUACAUAACGGGAAUCGGUCAAACGGAGUGUGGUCUUGCUUUUGGAGGUUAACGCUUUCAGGAGUGUGGCUACGUUAAGCUCCAUCGGUUUCACGGUCACCUUGAGUAAAUCAGAGUGCUCAAAGCAGUCGUAGGGGCCUUGCGCCCUGUGAACAGUCUUGACGGACUGACUUGGUUUUGCAUGGCAUGUCGGAAGACGACGUCGUGUGCUGGCUCAGAGGAUAAAUCAGUGGUACAAGCCAGCCUCGACGUAAUGAUUAAAAGGGACGGUCGAGGGCAUUGGUAUUGCGAGGCGAGAGGUGAAAUUCUGUGACCCCCGCAAGACCUCCUGAAGCGAAAGCGUCUGCCAAGGACGUUUUCAUUAAUCAUGAACGAAAGUUAGAGGAUCGAAGGCGAUCAGAUACCGCCCUAGUUCUAACCCUAAACGAUGCCAACCAUCAAUCCGCGCGUAGCACCCUUCUUAACGGGCUCGGCGGGCAGCUCCCCACUCACGGGAAACCAGAGCCUCUGGGUUCCGGGGGGAGUCUGGUUGCAAAGCUGAAACUUAAAGGAAUUGACGGAAAGGCACCACCAGGCGUGGAGCCUGCGGCUUAAUUUGACUCAACACGGGCCAUCUCACCAGGCCAGCACUCUUGUACGAUUGACAGAUUGAGAGCUCUUUCUCGAUUCAGUGGAUGGUGGUGCAUGGCCGUUCUUAGUUGGUGGAGUGAUCUGUCUGGUUAAUUCCGAUAACGAACGAGACUCUCCCCUGCUAACUAGUCGGUUGGAUCUUGAUCAGCGGGUUGCGUGCUGAGUAACUCUCGCUGCGUGUGAUGUGCGUUUCGUGCUUAACGGUGCGUUGCGUCUUGCGCGUAGUGUUGGAUGCCUUGGAUCACACUGCACCCCAAGUCCGCCGCUUAUGCUAUAACUCUUCUUAGAGGGAUUCACGGCACUGAAGCCGUAAGAGACUGAGAGCAAUAACAGGUCUGUGAUGCCCUUAGAUGCUCUGGGCCGCACGCGCGCUACAAUGCCGGGCACAGCAGGUGUUUCUCCUGCUCCGACAGGAGCGGGUAACCCUCUGAAAGCCAGUGUUCUUGCAAGUACUUCCUCCCUCGUGGAGUUGUACAAAGGCGUGCUUGGGCCUGGGACUUGCAAUUCUUUCCCACCAACGAGGAAUGCCUAGUAGCGGCGGGUCACUGAGCCCGCUGUGACUCAGUCCCUGCCCUUUGUACACACCGCCCGUCGCUACUACCGAUUGGGUGUACCAGUGAGAGCCUUGGACUGGCGUCCGUUGUUAUUCGCAAGAGUGACAAGCGGGUCCGACGGAAAGAGGUCCGAACUGGUGCACUUAGAGGAAGUAAAAGUCGUAACAAGGUUUCCGUAGGUGAACCUGCGGAAGGAUCAUUAAAAGGAUUAUUAAAACCCAAGCACUCUCCCUAUCGGGUUGUGGAUGAUGUAGUCCACACAAACACUUUUUGCUCACACUGACUAUGAGUUUGGUCAGCAGAGAAUGCUAUUGCGAACCAUCGUGGCACACACUUUUACACAGAGUUUUACACCGGAGGAUCACACAGCACGUGAUUGAUCUUGUGAUGGUAUAUACUCUUGUAUUCGUGCCGAUGUAAAAUAAACAAAGCUUAGUCUAAGUCGAUCGAAACUCAUCACUGGCCUAGUGCUGCGACCUUAAAAAGUCAAAGCCUUGGUACGGGUACUCGGUUCCAUGUGGAGCUGAGCCCUU
RNAcentral lists this ribosomal RNA (2519 nucleotides) under Gammarus wilkitzkii. RNAcentral describes it as "bacterial SSU rRNA". The stretch from base 1 to 2188 matches the Rfam family "Eukaryotic small subunit ribosomal RNA". Lineage: Eukaryota; Metazoa; Arthropoda; Malacostraca; Amphipoda; Gammaridae. The record is from RNAcentral.